RNAcentral lists this transfer RNA (70 nucleotides) under Dipodomys ordii (Ord's kangaroo rat). It matches the Rfam family "tRNA". Rfam says of the family: Transfer RNA (tRNA) molecules are approximately 80 nucleotides in length. Their secondary structure includes four short double-helical elements and three loops (D, anti-codon, and T loops). The record is from Rfam by way of RNAcentral. Lineage: Eukaryota; Metazoa; Chordata; Mammalia; Rodentia; Heteromyidae.
GGAACUGUGGCCUAGUGGUAGAGUGCUUGCCUACCAUGCAUGAGGCUCUGGGUUUGAUUCCUCAGUACCA